This 497-nucleotide ribosomal RNA is filed under the name uncultured bacterium. RNAcentral's name for it is "partial 16S ribosomal RNA". The stretch from base 54 to 497 matches the Rfam family "Bacterial small subunit ribosomal RNA", at positions 38 to 507 of the family's 1533-position model. The record is from RNAcentral.
GGGGGGGGGGGGGGGGGGGGGGGGGGGGGGGGGGGGGGGGGGGGGGGGGGGGGGGGGGCGUCUCUGGUGGUAGCGGCGGGCGGGGGGGUGACGCGUGGAGACCCUACCUGUAAGGCUGGGGUAACUUCGGGGACCCGGGGCGAAUCCCUGGUCCUCUUUUGGACCGCAGUGUUCACACGUUCACUGCGGUCUUGCUGUCCCUUAUAGCUGUCUCCGCGCUGCAUUAGCUAGUUGGUAAGGUACCGGCUUCCCACGGCAACGAUGCAUAGCCGACCUGAGAGGGUGAUCGGAAACAAUGGAACGGAGAAACGGUCAAGACUCCUACGGGAGGCAGCAGUAGGGAAGCUGCCGCAAUGGGCGAAAGACUGACGGAGCAACGCCGCGUGAGUGAUGAAGGUCUUCGGAUCGUAAAACUCUGUUAUUAGGGAAGAACAUAUGAGUAAGUAACUGUGCACAGAUUGACGGUACCUAAGCAGAAAGCCACGGCUAACUACGUG